This 501-nucleotide ribosomal RNA is filed under the name uncultured bacterium. RNAcentral describes it as "partial 16S ribosomal RNA". It matches the Rfam family "Bacterial small subunit ribosomal RNA", at positions 30 to 523 of the family's 1533-position model. The record is from RNAcentral.
AUUGAACGCUGGCGGCAGGCUUAACACAUGCAAGUCGAGCGGAGAUGAGGUGCUUGCACCUUAUCUUAGCGGCGGACGGGUGGGUAAUGCUUAGGAAUCUGCCUAUUAGUGGGGGACAACAUUCCGAAAGGAAUGCUAAUACCGCAUGCGUCCUACGGGAGAAAGCAGGGGAUCUUCGGACCUUGCGCUAAUAGAUGAGCCUAAGUCGGAUUAGCUAGUUGGUGGGGUAAAGGCCUACCAAGGCGACGAUCUGUAGCGGGUCUGAGAGGAUGAUCCGCCACACUGGGACGGAGACAUGGCCCAGACUGCUGCGGGAGGCAGCAGUGGGGAAUAUUGGACAAUGGGGGGAACCCUGAUCCAGCCAUGCCGCGUGUGUGAAGAAGGCCUUAUGGUUGUAAAGCACUUUAAGCGAGGAGGAGGCUACUGAGACUAAUACUCUUGGAUAGUGGACGUUACUCGCAGAAUAAGCACCGGCUAACUCUGUGCCAGCCGCCGCGGUAA